RNAcentral lists this transfer RNA (65 nucleotides) under Lordithon arcuatus. Its description in RNAcentral is "tRNA-Ser". The record is from RNAcentral. Lineage: Eukaryota; Metazoa; Arthropoda; Insecta; Coleoptera; Staphylinidae.
AGUUAAUGAACUUGAAUAAGUUUAUAUUUUGAAAAUAUACCAUAAAGGAAUUCCUUUAUUAACUU